UACCAGCUCUCCGAGUGGUAGGGAUGAUUAUUGGGCUUAAAGCGUCCGUAGCCGGCUUAGCAAGUCUCCUGUUAAAUUCAGCGACCUAAUCGUUGAGCCGCGGGAGAUACUACCAGGCUAGGAGGCGGGAGAGGUCAACGGUACUUCCGGGGUAGGGGUGAAAUCCUAUAAUCCCGGGAGGACCACCAGUGGCGAAGGCUGUUGACUAGAACGCGCUCGACGGUGAGGGACGAAAGCUGGGGGAGCGAACCGGAUUAGAUACCCGGGUAGUCCCAGCUGUAAACGAUGCGAGCUAGGUGUUGGGGUGGCUACGUGCCACUUCAGUGCCGCAGGGAAGCCAUUAAGCUCGCCGCCUGGGAGUACGGCCGCAAGGCUGAAACUUAAGGAAUAGGCGGGGAGCACCACAAGGCGUGAAGCUUGCGGUUC
RNAcentral lists this ribosomal RNA (426 nucleotides) under uncultured archaeon. RNAcentral's name for it is "bacterial SSU rRNA". It matches the Rfam family "Archaeal small subunit ribosomal RNA", at positions 474 to 903 of the family's 1478-position model. The record is from RNAcentral.